GUCAGACUAUGGGUGAGAAGGUCCAUGGUCGAGAGGGAAACAGCCCAGACCGUCAAUUAAGGUCCCUAAAUAUAGGCUAAGUGUAGAAGGAGGUGAAGUUGUAAAGACAACCAGGAGGUUGGCUUAGAAGCAGCCAUCCUUUAAAGAAAGCGUAAUAGCUCACUGGUCUAGUGGUUCUGCGCCGAAGAUGUAACGGGGCUAAGUAUGGUACCGAAGCCACGGGUCGAUUCUAAGGAAUCGGCGGUAGGGGAGCGUUCUCCUAAGGGAUGAAGGUAUGCCGUGAGGUAUGCUGGACUAAGGAGAAGUGAUAAUGCUGGCAUGAGUAACGAUAAAACGGGUGAGAAACCCGUUCGCCGUAAACCCAAGGUUUCCUGGGUAAAGCUAAUCUGCCCAGGGUUAGUCGGCCCCUAAGGCGAGGCCGAAAGGCGUAGCUGAUGGGAAACAGGUUAAUAUUCCUGUACCUGCUGGGUAGUCGUUUGAGCGAAGGGGGGACGCAGAAGGGUAGGUCAGCCACCUGUUGGAAUAGGUGGUUCAAGCCUGUAGGCUGGGGACUUAGGCAAAUCCGGGUCCCUGUUAAGGCUGAGAGGUGAUGACGAGUCUAUAAAGACGGAAGUGACUGAGCCCAUGCUGCCGAGAAAAGCCUCUAAGCGAGACUACCUGGUGGACCGUACCGCAAACCGACACAGGUGGGUGGGGUGAGUAACCCAAGGCGCUUGAGAGAACUCUGGCUAAGGAACUCGGCAAAAUGACCCCGUAACUUCGGGAGAAGGGGUGCUCUUGCGGGUGAAGGGAUUUAACUUCUGGAGCCUGGGAGAGCCGCAGAGAAAUGGCGGGGGCGACUGUUUACUAAAAACACAGGUCUCUGCUAAGUCGUAAGACGAAGUAUAGGGACUGACGCCUGCCCGGUGCCGGAAGGUUAAGGGGAUCAGUUAGCCUUCGGGCGAAGCUGUGAACCGAAGCCCCGGUAAACGGCGGCCGUAACUAUAACGGUCCUAAGGUAGCGAAAUUCCUUGUCGGGUAAGUUCCGACCUGCACGAAUGGCGUAACGAUCUCCGCGCUGUCUCGGCCAGAGACUCAGUGAAAUUGAAAUCUCGGUGAAGAUGCCGAGUACCCGCAGCAAGACGGAAAGACCCUGUGCACCUUUACUACAGCUUGACAUUGGACUUUGGGCUAUCAUGUGUAGGAUAGGUGGGAGGCUGUGAAGCCGGUACGCCAGUAUCGGUGGAGCCGCCCUUGAAAUACCACCCUUGGUAGUCUAGGGUUCUAACCCAGAGCCGUGAAUCCGGUCUGGGGACAGUGUCUGGUGGGUAGUUUGACUGGGGCGGUCGCCUCCCAAAGAGUAACGGAGGCGUGCAAAGGUUCCCUCAGGCUGAUUGGAAACCAGCCGUUGAGUGCAAAGGCAUAAGGGAGCUUGACUGUGAGAGAGACAUCUCGAGCAGGGACGAAAGUCGGCCUUAGUGAUCCGGUGGUUCCGCAUGGAAGGGCCAUCGCUCAUCGGAUAAAAGGUACGCCGGGGAUAACAGGCUGAUCGCGUCCAAGAGUUCACAUCGACGACGCGGUUUGGCACCUCGAUGUCGGCUCAUCACAUCCUGGGGCUGGAGCAGGUCCCAAGGGUUUGGCUGUUCGCCAAUUAAAGCGGUACGUGAGCUGGGUUUAGAACGUCGUGAGA
RNAcentral lists this ribosomal RNA (1669 nucleotides) under metagenome. RNAcentral's name for it is "bacterial LSU rRNA". It matches the Rfam family "Bacterial large subunit ribosomal RNA", at positions 983 to 2626 of the family's 2925-position model. The record is from RNAcentral.